RNAcentral lists this long non-coding RNA (5760 nucleotides) under Triticum aestivum (bread wheat). RNAcentral's name for it is "long non-coding RNA (TAES_LNC026945)". Lineage: Eukaryota; Viridiplantae; Streptophyta; Magnoliopsida; Poales; Poaceae. The record is from RNAcentral.
UUUCAAAUAGCCCGCUAUAGCUCCGCUAUAGCACGCUAUAGCGUUUACAAAAGGUCUUGCGCUAAGAGACUUUGGUCCAAACAAAUGAACAAACAUUUUAAAUAGCGCGCUAUAGCUCCGCUAUAGCACGCUAUAGCAUUUGAAAGAGGUCCGACGCUAAGAUGCUUAGCGCGCUAUUUAAAACUUUGGUGAUAACCUUACUUGAUAAGGAUCACAAAUCGCAGGAUAAUUCACUCUGUAGGGGAAUUCAAUUACAGAGUGGGCUUGUCUUGAGGUGGAAGAAAGAGUUGGGAAAGGGGAUAAAAUGAGCGAGCUAUCGAUUACAACUUCGCUGCCGAUCUGAAGAACGAGUCGUGCUAUAAGUACGUAGUCCAACUAGAGAGGCCAACGGCCCACUAGCCCUAUUCCUAUUACAAGGCCCCAAAGCCCAACAGCCUCUAUUCACUCGUGCCCCUUUACUCCCUUGCCUCGCCACCCAUAUGCUCUUGGUCGCUUACAGUGCCGCCCGCUGGAAAUCCAGCAUGCCCCCAUGCUGGUGCCGCCGGAUAGCGUUUCUUCAGGACUUCAUAAUCUUCCCACGUAGCUGCUGCUUCCGGAAGACCCGACCACUGGACCCGGAUUUGCACGUGCGCGGCGUUGCCUUUCUUCACCAUCUUCCGUUCGAGGACUUGCACAGGAACCAAAUUACCUGCAGACAGAUCCACUUGAGUUGGGAGUUCAGAAAACACUGGAGUAUGAGCAGGUUUGUGUUCCUUUAGCUGAGAUACAUGAAACACUGGGUGGAUUUGUGCACCCUCAGGCAGCAAUAACUUGUACGUUGCUGGUCCAAUGCAUUCCAAGACCUCAAAUGGCCCAUAGUACUUAUAUGCCAGCUUAGGACACGGCCUGUUGACCACAGAAUGUUGAGCAUAUGGCUAGAGCUUCAGAUACACAUAGUCACCCACUGAAAAUGAUCUGUCCGAUCUGCGUGCAUCUGCAUAGUGUUUUAUUUUUGCUUGAGCUCUCAUUAAGUUAGCUUUUAAGACUGCUGAGUGAGCCUGGUGUUCCCUGAGCCACUGUUCAACUUCAAUGUUGUCAGAUUGGAGCAGAGAAGAAAAGAAUCCAUAGCUAGGAUUAUACCCAUACAAGGCCUUGAAAGGAGAGCAUCCCAAGGAAGAAUGGAAAUUGGUAUUGUACCAGAAUUCAGCAAGAGGAAGCCAAGUCUGCCAUUUGGUUGGAGUAUCAUGUACUGCACACCUCAAAUACAUUUCCAAGCACUGAUUGACUCUCUCACUCUGACCAUCAGUUUGUGGGUGGUAUGCAGUAGACAUGUGCAACUUGGUGUCCCAUAGUUUGAACAGAUCCCUCCAAAAGUUGCUUGUGAAAACCUUGUCUCUGUCAGAUACUAUAGUAAGUGGAGGUCCAUGCAAUUUAACCACUGCCUCCAAAAAUGCUUUGGCCACAACAGGAGCAGAAAAGGGAUGUUUAAGAGGAAUGAAAUGGGCAUAUUUAGUAUGUCUAUCAACCACCACCAAUAUGACAUUGUACCCAGCAGAUUUAGGGAGUCCUUCGAUGAAAUCCAUAGUCACUUGCUGCCAAGGGCCCUCAGGAAUAGGCAAAGGAUUCAGAAGGCCAGGGUACUUGCAAUGUUCAUGUUUUGCUUUCUGACAAAUGUCACAUUGUUGCACAUAUUCAGUCACAUCAUUCUUCAAUCCUGACCAAGCAAACAGUUUGUCAACUCUCUGGUAAGUAGCAAGUAUCCCCGAAUGGCCUCCCAUUGCACUAUCAUGAAAUGCAGAUAUUAAUUUGGUUUUUAGAGCUGAAUUUGCUCCAAUCCAAAUUCUAUCUUGAAAUUUGAUUAUCCCUUGCUGCAAGGAAAAUCCUUCUGCAUUCUCAGUAGAAACUGCUAGCUGUUGUAUUAAUUGUUGUGCUUUAGGGUCCACUUCAUAAGAAUUCACCACCUCUUGCAUCCACACCGGUUGACUCUGAGAAGUUGCAGACACCGCAAGCAGAUGUCCUACUCUUGAUAAUGCAUCAGCCACAGUGUUUUCAGUCCCCUUUUUAUACUGAAACUGAAACUGAAGUCCCACCAGUUUAGUCAUGGCUUUUCGUUGAAGAUCAAAUGUGAGAAUUUGAUCCCCUAACUGACACAAACUCUGAUGAUCGGUUUUGAUAAUAAAAGGUCCUCUUUGCAAGUAAGCUCUCCAUUUCUCCACUGCCAUCAUGAUAGCUAAAAACUCUUUCUCAUAUAUGGACAGUUGCUGAUUCUUAAUGCCCAGUGCUUUACUGUAGAAUGCUACAGGAUGUCCUUGUUACAAAAGAACAGCUCCAAUACCCGUUGAGCAUGCAUCUGUUUCAAUGGUGAACUGCUUAUCAAAGUCGGGUAACAACAACACAGGAGUAGUGGACAUAGCAACUUUCAGUUUAUCAAAAGUCUGUUGAGCCGCCUCGGACCAUGCAAAAUUAUUUUUCUGCAGUAGCUGUGUCAGAGGUUUUGCAAUAAUACCAUAAUGCUGCACAAACUUCCUGUAAUACCCGGUGAGACCCAGAAAUCCUCGGAGUUCUGUGACAUUUUGAGGAACAGGCCACUCCAACAUCACUUUAGUUUUCUCAGGAUCUGUAGCCACCCCUUUAUCUGAGAUAAUAUGACCCAAAUACUCUAAUUGUUGUUGAGCAAAAGAGAAUUUGCUCAUCUUAGCAUAAAACUGGUUUUAUCUCAAAAUUUGCAGCACUUCUCUCAGGUGAGCUAUAUGGUCCACUAGAGACUGGUUGAACACCAAGAUGUCAUCCAUGAAGGAUAUGACAUACUUUUUGUUCCCUUUGGACAAGUACAAAUUCAUGUUACCCUGGAAAGUACCCGGAGCUGUAGCAAGUCCAAACGCCAUGACCUUGAACUGAUAAUGACCAUUAUGGGUUCGAAAAGCUGUUUUAUGUUCAUCUUCAGGUACCAUUCUGAUAUGGUGGUAACCUGCUCUUAGAUCCAACUUUGUAAACCACUUAGUGCCUGCCAACUCAUCUAAUAGUUCAUCCACCACAGGCAUAGGAAACCUACUCUUCACCGUGAUGGAGUUAAGUUUCCUGUAAUCCACACAGAAUCUCCAUGUGCCAUCUUUCUUUUUUACCAGUAACACGGGAGAGGCAAAAGGACUGACACUAGGGGUUAUCAAUCCCGCUUCUAGCAUCUCAGCCACUUGUUUUUCAAUUUCAUCCUUUUGAAGAGGAGAGUAUCUGUAAGGUCUUACAUUCACUGGAAGAGCCCCAGGUACCAGGUGUAUGGCAUGAUCUAGGGGUCUUGAAGGGGGUAAUGUUUUAGGAUCUUGGAACACAUCCGCAAAUUCUUGUAUCACUACUUGCACCUCAUUCGGAAUUUCAUUUGGUGUUUUUGACAUCACAGGAGUGAUCAAAGCAGUUGCCCAAAUGUCAUUACCAGUGUGCCAUCUCAUGGCUUGCUCAACUGAUACUUCUUGUAACACCGGGUUGGCUGGAGGUAACAAGCCUUGCAAGGUUAUGAGCUGGUCUUGAAAUUGGAACCUCACCCAUUUUUCUUUCCACUGACAAGUCAUUUCACCCCAUUGCUCUAGCCAAUCCAUCCCCAGGAUCAUAUCAUAUCCUCCUAGGUCUAGUACUUUCAUUGGGUAGCUAAAAGUGUGGCCCUGAACCCACCAGUGCAGCUCAGGCACCACUGAUUUGCACUGUAGCAUUUCCCCAUUUGCCACCUUCACCUGCAGUGGUGUUUUCAACUCUUGGUGUGUGAGCUGCGCUCGGGCUAACAUCUCAAUAUCUAUAAAGCUGUGAGUGCUGCCCGAAUCCAACAGAAUUAGCACAACUUGAUUCCCAAUUAAGGCUCGCAACCUGAUUGUCCUUGGAUGAUCUGCCCCUGAAAUGGCAUUUACCGACAGCUGCAUCUCUUGUAAGGCUGCUUCCUGUUCCUCAACUGCAUCAAGCACUUCAUCAGAUAGAAUAGUAGGGCCUUCACAUUGCAAUGCUUGCACAGUUGCCUGAACCGGGUGCUUAGCACACACGUGAGUUGGUGUGUAUUUUUCUCCACAACUAUAACAAAGACCAUUAGCCCUUCGAAACUCUUUCAGCUGUCUAGCUUUCCAUAGAUCUCCUGCAGCCACUGGUUGAGCCUUGUAAUCAGUUUUUGAACCCAUUGCUUUGUGGUUUGUCCAUUUAACAUGUUUGCUUCUAGCCAAGACCUCUUCCUGAAUACCAGCAUACAUCGCAGCUUCGCUGACUGUCGCUGGUAUUUGCAUCUCCACCGCAGCUCUCAACUCCUCUCUCAAACCCAACACAAACCUAGUUACCAGGAAUGUGUCGCUAACUGUGUUUUCAUACAGCAGCAACUGGUAAGUUAAUUGCAUAAACUCUCUUUUGUACUCUGCCACCGACCCUGACUGUUUUAGCAUCAUCAACUCUUUCAUUUUGUGUCUGUGCACGUUGACAUCGAACUCUGACAUCACAGCAGAGCGAAACUCAUGCCAAUUAGGCCACUGAUGAGUCAGUUUAUACGCAUGAAACCAAUUGGCCGCAUCGCCACACAUGUGCAAUGUAGCAGAAGUAACUCUAAAGAAUUCAGGAAUCUCGUACAAGGAAAAAUAAGCUUCACAUCCGUCGAGCCAUAUGCGUACAUCACUACCAUCAAAACGGGGAAAUCCAUUUUGGGCAUCCAAGGUCGACGUGGAUGUUGCUCUUCACAAGAGGCUACAAAUGCUACUUUUUGCUUCUCCAAAUUUGACUGCUGACGCUGUUGCUCCGUAGGUGCCGGAGGGUUAAGUGGAUGUGUUUUGUUCAGGGAAUUUACGAUAGGAGGAGUACCCAUUAUGCUGUCGUUGGCUGAGGGUGAUGAUUCGGAUGGCGAAUGCUUGGACAUCUGAUCCUUCGCGGCCGCCACUUGUUCCUGUCGCACCUCGCCAAUUGACUUCAUUGUCAGGUUCACGUUACUCUGAAUCACAUCGAUGCGUUCCACCUGAGUGUUGAACUUCUGAUCCAACUCAUCGAUCCUGGCGAAGAGCUCAUCUAUCUGGUUGAUUUUGUCCCCCAAACCUGCCAGGACUUCCAGCUUCUUCAUCACUCGCGACUCGAACGCCUCCAUGGAGCCGAGCAUGAACUCCGUCUGCGCGCUUGCCUUGGUGGGGGCCGUAGUGACCGAGGUCUACCGCCGCCUAGAUCGGCGAGUACUGGAGCGCUGCUUCUCCGCCUCCGCCCACGCUCUAUCCUCUGCAACCGAUCUCCCAUGCCUCCCGAACAACGCCAAUCUUGCCGCACCUCGGAAUUUUACACCCAGUGAACGGACCCUGGGAAACCUUGUGCUGACCCGAUCCGCCGUCGAAUGCACCCUGCCGCCACUCAGAAGCGCCGCCUGCGUCGCACACGAUAAGCGACCGCUCACCGCCGCCGCGAGCUCCGCCUCCGCGUCGGAAUUUUACAGGAGAACCCAACCUCCGCGCAGUCGAGCCCGAUUCGCCGCCCCGCCACCAAUCGCCCGAAUCUGAUACCAAUUGUGAUAACCUUACUUGAUAAGGAUCACAAAUCGCAGGAUAAUUCACUCUGUAGGGGAAUUCAAUUACAGAGUGGGCUUGUCUUGAGGUGGAAGAAAGAGUUGGGAAAGGGGAUAGAAUGAGCGAGCUAUCGAUUACAACUUCGUUGCCGAUCUGGAGAACGAGUCGUGCUAUAAGUACGUACUCCAACUAGAGAGGCCAACGGCCCACUAGCCCUAUUCCUAUUACAAGGCCCCAAAGCCCAACAACCUCUAUUCACUCGUGCCCCUUUACUCCCUUG